GAUGAACGCUGGCGGCGUGCCUAAUACAUGCCAGUCGAGCGAACGGACGCCAACCUUGCUUCUCUGAUGUUAGCGGCUGACGCGUGAGUAACACGUGGAUAACCUACCUAUAACACUGGGACAAACUCGGGAAACCGGAGCUAAUACCGGAUAAUAUUUUGAACCGCAUGGUUCAAAAGUGAAAGACGGUCUUGCUGUCAGCUAUAGAUGGCUCCGCGGUGCAUUAGCUAGUUGGUAAGGUAACGGCUUACCAAGGCAACGAUGCAUAGCCGACCUGCGAGGGUGAUCGCGGAGACGUUGAGUCACGCACGUUGGCGAAGGCUACGCGAGCAACGAGUGUGCAAGGUUCCGCAAUGGGCGAAAGCCUGACGGAGCAGCGCCGCGUGACGCAUGAAUGGAUGCGCAUCGUAAAACUCUGUUAUUAGGGAAGAAGGGGGGGGUAAGUAACUGUGCACAUCUUGACGGUACCUAAUCAGAAAGCAACGGCUAACUACGUG
Molecule: ribosomal RNA, 497 nt
Filed under: uncultured bacterium
Lineage: Bacteria
Description: partial 16S ribosomal RNA
Rfam family: Bacterial small subunit ribosomal RNA
Source: RNAcentral